This is a non-coding RNA of Callithrix jacchus (white-tufted-ear marmoset), 75 nucleotides long. NCBI's taxonomy places the organism in Eukaryota, Metazoa, Chordata, Mammalia, Primates, Cebidae. The record is from Rfam.
GACAUCAAGGACCUGCAGGACAAGAUUCUUGGUGCCAUCAUUGAGAGCUCCUGGACUGUCCUGCAGAUUGACAAU